AAAAAAAGCCGGAAUAGCUCAG
This 22-nucleotide transfer RNA is filed under the name Anomodon minor. Its description in RNAcentral is "partial tRNA-Phe". The record is from RNAcentral. Lineage: Eukaryota; Viridiplantae; Streptophyta; Bryopsida; Hypnales; Anomodontaceae. RNAcentral also lists the same sequence under 1 other name.